Long non-coding RNA from Hordeum vulgare subsp. vulgare (domesticated barley), 1762 nucleotides. RefSeq lists it as uncharacterized. The record is from RefSeq and is a predicted model, not a curated record. The transcript has 7 exons. NCBI's taxonomy places the organism in Eukaryota, Viridiplantae, Streptophyta, Magnoliopsida, Poales, Poaceae.
AAACCUCCUUAUUUUCACUCGGCCAACAGGUACCACGACCGAAUCUAAAUUCCCCAAACCUAAAUCCUCUCAACCACUUCCCCCCGCCGCCGACCGCCCGCUCGCCCGCUAUCUCCAGCAUGUCGUCACGGCGACAGCCAGGUUGCUGCCUUGUCUCCUUCAUCCUCGUGCACCCCCACUGCUUAGUCUACCAACACUUCCAAUCCUAGAUUGUGCGCUGCAGUUCGGGGAGAGGCCAAGGCCUGGUGGUGGACGCCGUCGUCCCUCUCAGAUUUGAGGCUGAGAGAGAGAGAGAGAGAAGGGGUGGGGGAGGAAGGAAGGGAGAGGCGGGUCACCUGCGAGAGAGAGAGCACUCGCACCCUCGCUCGUCACCCAGGGUCCGCCACCACUGCCGCCACAAAGGGCUUCAUCCGAUCUGUGCUCGCCGGUUGACUGCUGUUGCUUCCCCUCCCCCAGCGGAAUUUCAAGUGGCGCACAUCUUGUCUGGUGAGCCGACGACCGGACAUCUUUUGUCAAGCUUUCAGAAUGCUAACGCAAGUACUUAGACAAGCGCACAUCAGACUUUCAUGGUACGACGGUGCGCCCAUCAAUUGUUAUGUGUUCUACUUAUGUGUUCUACUCUGCCUGUGACAUGACCAUCAACUUCAUUUUACCGCUGGACAAGAAAUGACAUGCAUCUCAUGUCCACGAUCCUACUUAGAAACAAUAACUAUCUAGACUUAACUAUUGUAAAAUAUAAAUGUUAAUAUAUUGUCUAGACUUAACUAUUAAUCAGGGCACACAAUGUUAAUAUACUUCAAAUAUGGCUAAGUUGGUCUUAACUAUUGUAAAAUAUAAAUGGCAAUGAUAAUGCAGACAUAGAUCAUAUUAUUGCAUUACCCUUUUCCAAGAAAAUAAUGGAAGUACGUGUAUGAUCUUUCUGUGAAAUACAUUAUCAUGCUUUUGCAAGUUCCACGUUUUUCAAUUUCAGAUAAAGGAAUUGGAUCUUUCUUGGAGGCUCGGUGUUUCUUAACUGAGGCAUCUGCAGCAAUCUGUGUGUUGUCAGGUCCCAACGGGUCAAAGGAUUCAUCCUCCUUAUUCUGUCAGAUUUGCUUAUUCUUUCCAUGCAUACUGUACGAUCUUGAAAAGGAUGGAGAAUAAUACUGCUAUAACAGACGUUGAGGCCAUAAAACAACAUCUACUUACACUUAAGCCAAGACAUGAUCAUGAGGUUUCUUUUCAAUUGCAUAGUUCAUAGUUGGAUUUUUACAAGAACAUUUGCUUCCCUGUUUGGAUGUCGUGAGUCACAACAAGACAUCAACGAUAGGGACCAUGCUAUUGAAUGCAUUAGCUGAUUCAGAUGCCAACGGGGAAUUCUGCGAAGAGACAUUUGUGGCCAAUGUGCAGUAGGACAUAUCUUUUCCUGCUCACAUGGUUUCUAAAGUCAGUGACUGGCAGUUUUGGCAACACAUGGUACAUGCGCUCGGAAUGAAGGCCUGGAUGUGCUGAACAGGCGGCCAUGGCAAGAGCAUAUUGUGCAGAGGACGUGGAUGAGAAGAAACUUAUGGUUCUCAUUCAAUCUUUGUGGAACUCUCUUUAUGUGCGAUUGUGCAUUUGUUGGAACCUUUUUUCUGUGCACUUGCACAAGUAUUCUGUUGUGCACAUGUAAAAUUAUUUUGAUGUGUCCUUGUUAGGUGUUGAACCUUAAUGCGUGGAGUCAGUGGAUGAUGUAUUGUAUUUGAUGUGAUAUGCUAUUGAAAUGAAAUAUACAUUUUAUUUGCAA